Molecule: ribosomal RNA, 484 nt
Filed under: uncultured bacterium
Lineage: Bacteria
Description: partial 16S ribosomal RNA
Rfam family: Bacterial small subunit ribosomal RNA
Source: RNAcentral
AGUGAACGCUGGCGGUAUGCUUUACACAUGCAAGUCGAACGGCAGCGCGGGCUUCGGCCUGGCGGAGGGUGGCGAACGGGUGAGUAAUGCAUCGAAACAUGCCCAGUAGUGGGGGAUAGGCCGGCGAAAGCCGGAUUAAUACCGCAUAAGACCUGAGGGUGAAAGCGGGGGACCGAAAGGCCUCGCGCCAUUGGAGGGGCCGAUGUCGGAUUAGCUAGUUGGUGGGGUAAAGGCUUACCAAGGCGACGAUCCGUAGCUGGUCUGAGAGGACGAGCAGCCACACUGGGACUGAGACACGGCCCAGACUCCUACGGGAGGCAGCAGUGGGGAAUUUUGGACAAUGGGGGCAACCCUGAUCCAGCCAUGCCGCGUGCGGGAAGAAGGCCUUCGGGUUGUAAACCGCUUUUGUUCGGGAAGAAAUCCUCUGGGCUAAUACCCCGGUGUUAUGACGGUACCGGAAGAAUAAGCACCGGCUAACUACGUG